CUUAAGAAAUUUUUUUAUUCCAUUAUUGGAGGGUCGUGGGGUGGCGAAUAGUGAUACCGUCACGGCCCAUGUGGGAGUCCUAAGAAUCACACACGAAAAUACUGCUUGAUCGAACGGUAACGAAGAUGCCUGUGAUAAAGGAAUCAGUGAGUCUAGCAGAUCAUCAACAUCUUUAAAAGGGAGUUAGUAAGAUGAAUGAAACUGUUCCAUAAAAGCAAUAAGAUAUUGGAGUUGACUUUUUUAUGAUUGAAUUUUUUGGGUUCAAUGCAUAAUGGUUUAUUUUCUAUAUAUAUACAUAAG
RNAcentral lists this long non-coding RNA (300 nucleotides) under Brassica rapa (field mustard). Its description in RNAcentral is "long non-coding RNA (BRAP_LNC001224)". Lineage: Eukaryota; Viridiplantae; Streptophyta; Magnoliopsida; Brassicales; Brassicaceae. The record is from RNAcentral.